RNAcentral lists this ribosomal RNA (501 nucleotides) under uncultured bacterium. RNAcentral describes it as "partial 16S ribosomal RNA". It matches the Rfam family "Bacterial small subunit ribosomal RNA", at positions 29 to 523 of the family's 1533-position model. The record is from RNAcentral.
AUUGAACGCUGGCGGCAUGCCUUACACAUGCAAGUCGAACGCGAAAGUAGGGGCAACCCUGCGAGUAGAGUGGCGAACAGGUGAGUAGUGCAUCGGAACAUUUCCAGUAGCGGGGGAUAACCUCGAGAAAUCGAGGCUAAUACCGCAUACGUCCUACGGGAGAAAGCGGGGGACCGCAAGGCCUCGCACUAUUGGAGUGGCCGAUGCCGGAUUAGCUAGUUGGCGGGGUAAAAGCCCACCAAGGCGACGAUCCGUAGCUGGUCUGAGAGGAUGAUCAGCCACACUGGGACUGAGACACGGCCCAGACUCCUACGGGAGGCAGCAGUGGGGAAUUUUGGACAAUGGGCGCAAGCCUGAUCCAGCCAUGCCGCGUGAGUGAAGAAGGCCUUCGGGUUGUAAAGCUCUUUCGGCCGGGACGAAAUCGCACCCUUUAAUACGGGGUGUGGAUGACGGUACCGGAAGAAGAAGGACCGGCUAACUACGUGCCAGCCGCCGCAGUAA